AACGAACGCUGGCGGCAUGCCUAACACAUGCAAGUCGAACGAGAUCUUCGGGUCUAGUGGCGCACGGGUGCGUAACGCGUGGGAAUCUGCCCCUUGGUUCGGAAUAACAGUUGGAAACGACUGCUAAUACCGGAUGAUGACGAAAGUCCAAAGAUUUAUCGCCAGAGGAUAAGCCCGCGUAGGAUUAGCUAGUUGGUGUGGUAAAGGCGCACCAAAGCGACGAUCGGUAGCUGGUCUGAGAGGAUGAUCAGCCACACUGGGACUGAGACACGGCCCAGGCUCCUACGGGAGGCAGCAGUGGGAAAUAUUGGACAAUGGGCGAAGGCCUAAUCCAGCACUGCCGCGGGAGGGAUGAAGGCCUUAGGGUUGUAAAGCUCUUUUACCCGUGAUGAUAAUGACAGUACCGGGAGAAUGAGCGCCGGCUAACUCCGUGCCAGCCGCCGCCGUAA
RNAcentral lists this ribosomal RNA (449 nucleotides) under uncultured bacterium. RNAcentral describes it as "partial 16S ribosomal RNA". It matches the Rfam family "Bacterial small subunit ribosomal RNA", at positions 29 to 523 of the family's 1533-position model. The record is from RNAcentral.